Molecule: long non-coding RNA, 333 nt
Filed under: Ananas comosus (pineapple)
Lineage: Eukaryota; Viridiplantae; Streptophyta; Magnoliopsida; Poales; Bromeliaceae
Description: long non-coding RNA (ACOM_LNC017849)
Source: RNAcentral
AAUCGAUAAUGAUAAUAUGCUUAGGCUUCGUUUAGAAUUAUGGUUUUGUUUCCGUAAGUAAUAUUGCGUUUCAUAUAUGCUGAUGAGUCGGUUAUGAGAAUGAUGAAGUAUAUCCGUAUAUGUUUUUAUCCCAACUCUGUUUUAUCUAAUCGUAUCAGAUAACUUCAAUACCAAACUAAGUUUUAGUCGUUUUCUAAUUCAGGUUUGAGAAAUGGAAUACAACAACUGGGCCUGAUAAUUAGCAGUGAGAUGAUUGUUAAUUUUCGAGUUGAAGUUCAACAAAUUAAAGUUUAAUGACUAAACCACAAGACAUUAAUUUAAGAACCAUUGGUG